RNAcentral lists this ribosomal RNA (230 nucleotides) under uncultured bacterium. Its description in RNAcentral is "partial 16S ribosomal RNA". It matches the Rfam family "Bacterial small subunit ribosomal RNA", at positions 568 to 796 of the family's 1533-position model. The record is from RNAcentral.
CGCGUAGGCGGGCGAGUCAGUCUGGCGUGAAAUCUUCACCGCUUAACGGGAAGAGGUCGCUGGAUACUGCUUGCCUUGAGGCCGAUAGAGGGAGACGGAAUUCCUGGUGUAGCGGUGGAAUGCGUAGAUAUCAGGAAGAACACCGAUUGCGAAGGCGGUCUCCUGGGUCGGACCUGACGCUGAGGCGCGAAAGCCAGGGGAGCGAACAGGAUUAGAUGCCCUGGUAGUCC